AUUGCCAAUACAACCUCUGCUAAUAGUCAGCUUCAUCUGGGAAAAUGUUCUGUCAGACUUUGGGGCAGAGUUUAAAAGGAAUUGGAGAGCUUGACUUGGCACAAAGGGCUAGGGAUAGCUGGGUCUGAAGACUGAGAGAUAGGAGCAGGAAUGAAUGGCACAAUCAUUAUUGACACUCAAAUUUCUUAGCAUCUGGGAGUUUGUUCAAAGUGUUAAGAGUCUGGCAAGAGAUCAGUUUCUCCAUCUCUUCUUCUUCACCCAGGGCAAGCUACAGCUGGACUCUAUCAAUCAACCAAGCUACAAGCGUAGGGUAAACACCUGCCAUUUGCAAGGGAGUAUAGUAGAUAGAAGAGCAGCUAGGUGGUACAGUGAAUAGGAUGCCAGAUCUGGAG
This is a long non-coding RNA of Monodelphis domestica (gray short-tailed opossum), 392 nucleotides long. The record is from Ensembl. Lineage: Eukaryota; Metazoa; Chordata; Mammalia; Didelphimorphia; Didelphidae.